AUUGAACGCUGGCGGAAUGCUUUACACAUGCAAGUCGAACGGCAGCACGGACUUCGGUCUGGUGGCGAGUGGCGAACGGGUGAGUAAUGUAUCGGAACGUGCCCAGUCGUGGGGGAUAACGUAGUGAAAAUUACGCUAAUACCGCAUACGAUCUAUGGAUGAAAGCGGGGGAUCGCAAGACCUCGCGCGAUUGGAGCGGCCGAUAUCAGAUUAGGUAGUUGGAGGGGUAAAGGCCCACCAAGCCAACGAUCUGUAGCUGGUCUGAGAGGACGACCAGCCACCCUGGAACUGCGACACGGUCCAGACUCCUACGGGAGGCAGCAGUGUGGAAUUUUGGACAAUGGGCGAAAGCCUGAUCCAGCCAUUCCGCGUGCAGGAUGAAGGCCCUCGGGUUGUAAACUGCUUUUGUACAGAACGAAAAGGUUUCUACUAAUACUAGGAGCUCAUGACGGUACUGUAAGAAUAGGCACCGGCUAACUACGUGCCAGCCGCCGCGGUAA
Molecule: ribosomal RNA, 500 nt
Filed under: uncultured bacterium
Lineage: Bacteria
Description: partial 16S ribosomal RNA
Rfam family: Bacterial small subunit ribosomal RNA
Source: RNAcentral